UACGUAGGGUGCGAGCGUUAAUCGGAAUUACUGGGCGUAAAGCGUGCGCAGGCGGCUUUGCAAGACAGAUGUGAAAUCCCCGGGCUUAACCUGGGAACUGCAUUUGUGACUGCAAGGCUGGAGUGCGGCAGAGGGGGAUGGAAUUCCGCGUGUAGCAGUGAAAUGCGUAGAUAUGCGGAGGAACACCGAUGGCGAAGGCAAUCCCCUGGGCCUGCACUGACGCUCAUGCACGAAAGCGUGGGGAGCAAACAGG
Molecule: ribosomal RNA, 253 nt
Filed under: uncultured bacterium
Lineage: Bacteria
Description: partial 16S ribosomal RNA
Rfam family: Bacterial small subunit ribosomal RNA
Source: RNAcentral